Molecule: ribosomal RNA, 1147 nt
Filed under: Vibrio sp.
Lineage: Bacteria; Pseudomonadati; Pseudomonadota; Gammaproteobacteria; Vibrionales; Vibrionaceae
Description: bacterial SSU rRNA
Rfam family: Bacterial small subunit ribosomal RNA
Source: RNAcentral
UGCAAGUCGAGCGGAAACGAGUUAUCUGAACCUUCGGGGAACGAUAACGGCGUCGAGCGGCGGACGGGUGAGUAAUGCCUAGGAAAUUGCCUUGAUGUGGGGGAUAACCAUUGGAAACGAUGGCUAAUACCGCAUGAUGCCUACGGGCCAAAGAGGGGGACCUUCGGGCCUCUCGCGUCAAGAUAUGCCUAGGUGGGAUUAGCUAGUUGGUGAGGUAAUGGCUCACCAAGGCGACGAUCCCUAGCUGGUCUGAGAGGAUGAUCAGCCACACUGGAACUGAGACACGGUCCAGACUCCUACGGGAGGCAGCAGUGGGGAAUAUUGCACAAUGGGCGCAAGCCUGAUGCAGCCAUGCCGCGUGUAUGAAGAAGGCCUUCGGGUUGUAAAGUACUUUCAGCAGUGAGGAAGGGGGUGUCGUUAAUAGCGGCAUCUCUUGACGUUAGCUGCAGAAGAAGCACCGGCUAACUCCGUGCCAGCAGCCGCGGUAAUACGGAGGGUGCGAGCGUUAAUCGGAAUUACUGGGCGUAAAGCGCAUGCAGGUGGUUUGUUAAGUCAGAUGUGAAAGCCCGGGGCUCAACCUCGGAACUGCAUUUGAAACUGGCAAACUAGAGUACUGUAGAGGGGGGUAGAAUUUCAGGUGUAGCGGUGAAAUGCGUAGAGAUCUGAAGGAAUACCAGUGGCGAAGGCGGCCCCCUGGACAGAUACUGACACUCAGAUGCGAAAGCGUGGGGAGCAAACAGGAUUAGAUACCCUGGUAGUCCACGCCGUAAACGAUGUCUACUUGGAGGUUGUGGCCUUGAGCCGUGGCUUUCGGAGCUAACGCGUUAAGUAGACCGCCUGGGGAGUACGGUCGCAAGAUUAAAACUCAAAUGAAUUGACGGGGGCCCGCACAAGCGGUGGAGCAUGUGGUUUAAUUCGAUGCAACGCGAAGAACCUUACCUACUCUUGACAUCCAGAGAACUUUUCAGAGAUGRAUUGGUGCCUUCGGGAACUCUGAGACAGGUGCUGCAUGGCUGUCGUCAGCUCGUGUUGUGAAAUGUUGGGUUAAGUCCCGCAACGAGCGCAACCCUUAUCCUUGUUUGCCAGCGAGUAAUGUCGGGAACUCCAGGGAGACUGCCGGUGAUAAACCGGAGGAAGGUGGGGACGA